This 281-nucleotide long non-coding RNA is filed under the name Salvia miltiorrhiza (redroot sage). RNAcentral describes it as "long non-coding RNA (SMIL_LNC009649)". Lineage: Eukaryota; Viridiplantae; Streptophyta; Magnoliopsida; Lamiales; Lamiaceae. The record is from RNAcentral.
CAUAUUAAAUAUUUUAUAAUUAGUCGAAUUUCACAAUUUUAGAAAAGAAAUAAAAUAGAAAAUAAAAAGUUAAAGAAAAAGAAAAAAAAAUGUAUAACUUAUUAAUAAAUCUUUAAUUUUAUUAUAAUCACAAAUUUGCCACUCAAUUUUGAAAUUGAUUUGAAAUUGAGAACUCCUUUUUUAAUAUAGUAUAGAUUCCGAGGCAUUCUAAUUUGAUAGCUAUCACCUAUAACAAUAUUCUGAACACUUUUAGGUUUUAGGCUUUUGAUCCGAUAUUUCCG